This 116-nucleotide ribosomal RNA is filed under the name Eubacteriales bacterium. The record is from RNAcentral. Lineage: Bacteria; Bacillati; Bacillota; Clostridia; Eubacteriales.
UCCGGCGAUGAUUAGCCUGAGGCCACACCUGUUCCCAUCCCGAACACAGAAGUUAAGCUCAGCGCUGCCGAAAAUACUUGGCUGGAGACGGCCUGGGAAAAUAGGUAUUGCCGGAU